Molecule: ribosomal RNA, 205 nt
Filed under: uncultured bacterium
Lineage: Bacteria
Description: partial 16S ribosomal RNA
Rfam family: Bacterial small subunit ribosomal RNA
Source: RNAcentral
GAUUGCAGGCUGCAACUCGCCUGCAUGAAGUUGGAAUUGCUAGUAAUCGCGAAUCAGAAUGUCGCGGUGAAUACGUUCCCGGGCCUUGUACACACCGCCCGUCACACCAUGAGAGCCGAUAACACCCGAAGCCUGUGAGCUAACCGUAAGGGGGCAGCAGUCGAAGGUGGGGUUGGUGAUUGGGGUGAAGUCGUAACAAGGUAAC